AAUUAACUCAAAAAUUUUUCUAUUAAUUUAAUAUACAAAAAUUCUCUGUCUAUCCAUUAAGAAAUAAUAGAAAAUUGUAUCAGGAUACAACACAAUAGCAUACGCCUGCAUAUGUGUAUAUGAAAUCAACGCGUACGUGUUAAUAAAAUAUUCAUAAUGUAAACAAAGCUGCUCUAAACCCAAACUCACUUCAAUAUGCGUCCAUCAACACAGUAUACGCUUCAAACGCAGCCGAAGCGCCGCAGGCCACAUUUAUAUUGCAAAAAUCACUGCCGGAAACUUCACAAGUAAUGCGAAAAAAAGUCAAACAGAAUCCAAUAAAAUCGACAGAGAGUAAACAAAUGACAACUAUUUACGGAAAUAAAAAAAAAAUAUUUUUACCAAAUUAAUGCUGAUCUUU
Non-coding RNA from Bactrocera oleae (olive fruit fly), 400 nucleotides. The record is from RefSeq and is a predicted model, not a curated record. Lineage: Eukaryota; Metazoa; Arthropoda; Insecta; Diptera; Tephritidae.